Molecule: long non-coding RNA, 2426 nt
Organism: Globicephala melas (long-finned pilot whale)
Lineage: Eukaryota; Metazoa; Chordata; Mammalia; Artiodactyla; Delphinidae
Source: RefSeq, a predicted model, not a curated record
UCCGCCAGGCGUGCCCCUCUCCAUCCCGGCCGCCUCUGCCCUUGCUGGUCGCUCUUCAGAGGGCGCAGCAGAAAGCCCUCCUCCUUCCCACCGGGAAGCAGGGUCAGCUGGAGGCUCCUGUGGGCCCCAAGAAAGCUGACGUUUCAGUGAAAUUGUUAUGAUUCCCCGUCUAUUCUGAGGCAGAGCUGAGAGCCGCUUCCAGCCGCCCUCCCAUCCGCCCCUCCAGGCAAAGCUCAAACUCGACACCAGCUCUCUCGGAGGAGCCGUUGAAAGGAGGCUGACGGAGCAGAGUCUUACCCGGGAGGCUCGGAUGCGUGGAUGGCCUCUAAGUCCUGAGGUUCAAUGUUGCAAAGGUCAAUGAAGCACUUUGGUUUCUCUGGUGACACAAAGUCUCAGUGAAGAGGACUACUCCACUGCUGGGAUAGAAGUCUGCAGAGAACAGAGCUCAGCUGCCUAAGUUGAAAUCUAUUCCUCUCGAUCGACUGGUGCCUGUGGAACACCUGCUGGGAGUUUGCGGCGAAAGAAGCACAAAGUGGUCCAUGUCGGGAAGCAGCUUCCUGCCGACCUGGGGAGGCUCCAGGGACGCUGAGGACGGCAGCUAGGCCUUCAAGGUUUUACUCUAGGUGAACCAAGCCACUCCUUCACUCGGCUUAGAAAUCUCCUCAGCUAAAUAUCGAAGUUCAUCACUGCAAGUUCCACCUUCCACUCAACCCUAGAACACAGUCCAGCCAAGUUCCUUGUCACUGUUAACCAGUUGCCAAAAACACACUCCUCGUUUCCAUGUGAGCCUCCUACGAAUGGCCUUUAACAUCCACGUGUCUACCAAUAUUCUGAACAAAUGAAGUUUGUUCCCCGGUUCCAUCCAGGCAGCACGUCCCACAGGCCUCGCGGUGGCUGUGACUUUCUGGAAUGAGCGCCUGACUCGUUCCGGCCACCUCUGCUCCCAUCCUGGCCCUGCCUGCUCGGGAAGCCGUUUAACCACGAUGGGUCUCAGUGCUGCCGUUGGGGUGUGGGGAUGGCGGGACGUAACCUUUUCCCAGGCUUGUCGCAAGGGUGAAGCGAACCACGAGUGUGGAGGCAUUUCAGUGCCCGCACACCUAAGGGAUUCCUAGUCACGCUUCCGGGCCCCUACGUGGCUAGACAGUCAAACCACCAAAGCCCACAUCUGUGCUCAUCCGUACUGGCCUCUUGCCUGACAGUAAGUGAGGGAGGAGUGGCAUUCUCUUUCGGGGCGGGGGGAUCUUUUUUAGAACAGAGACCAAGGAUGGCGAAUACUGGGUUCCAGAGGGGUCUCGGCUGUGUCCAGUCUCCGCCUGAGAGGGCGAUGGUGUCCAUCAAGGGCGUCGCGGGGAAGAGGCCAGACUUAGCCCAGACCCCCCGGGGCUCUGCUGGCCAGUCACCGGGCUCUUGCUUUUCAAUUUUCUAGGCUCUCAGGAACCCCACCACCCUCCAGUGUGGGGGUUUGUUGUCCAGAGGUACAGAAUCAUGAUGGCACAAGGUGGUUACCACCGCUUAAUGAUUAAACCAAAACCGACUGCCGUGUCCGUCCUCAGUAUCCGCAGAAAUGAGCAGAGGGCCUCACGUCAAGCGAGUGUUUGAUGAGUGAAUCCCUGCUAACAGGCGCGAAGCACCGCCAGCCUUCACACCACCCGCAGCCGUGCCCUGAGUUACAAAGCAAAGAGCACAGGAGACCGCCACGCCUCAGCUGAGACAAAGGCCGAGAUCAUUAAAGCCAUGACCAGUUACAAGCAGACUUCCUGUGUUCCUCACUGCUCUGUGCUCUAUUGGCCCUUCUUCACCCGUGCUGAGCGCUCCCCACGUAGCACCGUAAUGACAUAAUUCUGCUUUGUCCCUCUCCCUAGACAGGGAAGCCCUUGUGGCCCAGGAGCCCUUAUUAGUCUGUGUUGCCAAAGCCUGGCGCACCCUCUCCAGACCUUAGAGGAGCAAGGAGGGUGUUGUCAAGCUUCCAGAGCGGGAGGUGUCAGCGACGUCUUCCUCUUCUCAUUCCUCCCUCCCGAGUGUCAUCACCUAAAGGUACCAAAGCUGCCCUGCUUUGUUUAUCUUGGUCUCUGUGUCUGCAAAUGCAUACAUUAGCUGCCUUUUGGAAAAGAGGUGGCUAUUCCAAAGGCUGGAAUUAGAUGUUGUUUUGGAUGUUUGCAGAGCGAAUUGUGGGACUAGAAAAACGCCUUUAUCCGGAACAGAAAUUGUGACACUUCCUAUUUUUUAAUGUAAAACAUGAAGUAAACAUAAUUCACAGUCAUUUUUAAUGUCCUGGUGCAUCUCAGAGCCCCAUUUAAGAUAAAUGAUUUUCAAAUGCCUGAUGAGUCUGGUUUGAAAGCCUCUGUGGAAUUGAUGUACUAUAAUGUACUCAGAUCAUUUUAAAUCCAGGCCCUGCUUUGAUAUUUGCCUCUCGUUGCCAUCAUGGA